UCUCCGUUGGUGAACCAGCGGAGGGAUCAUUACAAAGUUGCAAAACUCCCAAACCAUUGUGAACGUUACCUAUCCCGUUGCUUCGGCGGGCGGCCCGGGCCCCGCGCCCGGCGCCCCCCGCCCCCCCGUGGGCGCCCGCCGAGGUAAACCAAACCCUUGAAUUGCAUGGCCUCUCUGAGUCUUCUGUACUGAAUAAGUCAAAACUUUCAACAACGGAUCUCUUGGUUCUG
This 230-nucleotide unclassified non-coding RNA is filed under the name plant metagenome. RNAcentral describes it as "partial contains small subunit ribosomal RNA, internal transcribed spacer 1, and 5.8S ribosomal RNA". The record is from RNAcentral.